GGUUCGAUCCUGGCUCAGAUUGAACGCUGGCGGAUGCUUUACACAUGCAAGCCGAACGGCAGCACGGACUUCGGUCUGGUGGCGAGUGGCGAACGGGUGAGUGAAUGUAUCGGUACCAGUGCCUAGUAGCGGGGGAUAACCACGGGCGUGCCCGUGAAUGGCCACCGCAUAAUGCCUUCGGGGGAAAGCGGGGAAUCCGGCCCUGCAACGCCAGAGCGGCCGAUAUCGAGCUCAGCUUAGUUGGUGGGGUAACGCCUCACCGCGACGAUCCGGGGAAGGCUUAUGAGGACGACCAGCCACAUCUGACCGAGACACGGCCCAGACUCCUACGGGAGGCAGCAGUGGGAGGUCCGGGAUUAAUGUAGCGUCCCUGAUCCAGCCAUCCUUACGUGUGCGAUGAAGGCCUUCGGGUUGUAAAGCACCCUUGCAGGAAGAAACGGCACGGAUAAUACCCCGUGCGCAACUGAUUGCACUGUGUUAGAGAAUAAGCAAUCAUUAUCCACGCGGGCACCAGUGUACAGGCCAUGGUAAUACGCAGGGGUGUGGGCGUUAAGACCGGAAUUACUGGGCGUAAAGCGUGUGCAGGCGGUUUUGGAAAAGGAAAGAUGGUAACCCAGAGCUUAACUUUGAACUGCAUUUUUAACUACUGAGCUAUAGAGGUCAGAGGGAGGUGGAAUUCCGCGUGUAGCAGGAAUGCGUAGAUAUGCGGAGGAACACCGAUGGCGAAGGCAGCCUCCUGGGAUAACACUGACGCUCAUGCACGAAAGUGUAAGGAGCAACAGAUUAGAAUGGACUGGUAAAAUGCCCAACGAUGUCAACUAGCUGCUGGGCCUUUCGGCCUGUAGCGCAGCUUAACGGGUGUAAAGGAUCUGUCCGCCUGGGGAGUACGGUCGCAAGAUUAAAACCAAAGGAAUUCGACGGGGACCCGCACAAGCGGUGGGAUGAUGUGGAUUAAUUCGAUGCAACGCGAAAACCUUUACCUACCCUGACAUGUCUGAAUCCCGAAGAGAUUUGGGAGUGCUCGCAAGAGAACCGGAACACAGGUGCUGUAUGGCUGUCGUCAGCUCGUGUCGCUAGAGAUGUUGCUGUAAGUCCCGCAACGAGCGCAACCUAUUAGUUGCUACGAAAGGGCACUCUAAUGAGACUGUCGCAACCGGAGGAAGGUGGGGAUGACGUCAAGUCCUCAUGGCCCUUAUGGGUAGGCUUCACACGUCAUACAAUGGUCGGGACAGGUCGCUAACCGCGAGGGGGAGCCAAUCCCAGAAACCCGAUCGUGCAGUCCUGAUCGCAGUCUAAAUCCUAUCCGCGCGAAGUCGGACCGCGAAUCGGAUCAGCACAACGCGGUGAAUACGUUCCGGUCUGUACACACCGCCCGUCUACACUACAAGGAGUGGGUUUACCAGAAGUAGUUAGCCUGAAACUGGUAAGGAGGGCGAUUACCACGGUAGGAUUCAUGACUGGGGUGAAGUCGUAACAAGGCAA
Molecule: ribosomal RNA, 1482 nt
Filed under: uncultured Bordetella sp.
Lineage: Bacteria; Pseudomonadati; Pseudomonadota; Betaproteobacteria; Burkholderiales; Alcaligenaceae
Description: partial 16S-23S ribosomal RNA intergenic spacer
Rfam family: Bacterial small subunit ribosomal RNA
Source: RNAcentral